Molecule: ribosomal RNA, 509 nt
Filed under: uncultured bacterium
Lineage: Bacteria
Description: partial 16S ribosomal RNA
Rfam family: Bacterial small subunit ribosomal RNA
Source: RNAcentral
GACGAACGCUGGCGGCGUGCUUAACACAUGCAAGUGGUGCGACGAACCAGGCUUCGGCCUGGGGCAGAGCCGCGAACGGGUGAGUAACACGUGGGCAACCUGCCCUGUUGAUCGGGACAACCCGGGGAAACCCGGGCUAAUACCGAAUGUGGUGCCGGCUCAUGAGAGCCGUCACGAAAGGAAUCUUCGGCCUCCGCGACAGGAUGGGCCCGCGGCCCAUUAGCUUGUUGGUGGGGUAAUGGCCUACCAAGGCAACGAUGGGUAGCUGGUCUGAGAGGACGAUCAGCCACACUGGGACUGAGACACGGCCCAGACUCCUACGGGAGGCUGCAGUGGGGAAUCUUGCGCAAUGAGCGACAGCUUGACGCAGCAACGCCGCGUGGGGGAAGAAGGCUUUCGGGUCGUAAACCCCUUUCAGUUAGGACGAAGCUUUAUUGGUUAAUAACCAAUUAGAGUGACGGUACUUUCAGAAGAAGCCCCGGCUAACUACGUGCCAGCAGCCGCAGUAA